RNAcentral lists this ribosomal RNA (374 nucleotides) under uncultured organism. Its description in RNAcentral is "partial 16S ribosomal RNA". It matches the Rfam family "Bacterial small subunit ribosomal RNA", at positions 527 to 896 of the family's 1533-position model. The record is from RNAcentral.
GUAGGUGGCAAGCGUUGUCCGGAAUUAUUGGGCGUAAAGCGCGCGCAGGCGGUUCUUUAAGUCUGAUGUGAAAGCCCACGGCUCAACCGUGGAGGGUCAUUGGAAACUGGAGAACUUGAGUACAGAAGAGGAAAGCGGAAUUCCACGUGUAGCGGUGAAAUGCGUAGAGAUGUGGAGGAACACCAGUGGCGAAGGCGGCUUUCUGGUCUGUAACUGACGCUGAGGCGCGAAAGCGUGGGGAGCAAACAGGGAUUAGAUACCCUGGUAGUCCACGCCGUAAACGAUGAGUGCUAAGUGUUAGGGGGUUUCCGCCCCCUUAGUGCUGCAGCUAACGCAUUAAGCACUCCGCCCUGGGGAGUACGGCCGCAAGGCUG